Molecule: ribosomal RNA, 350 nt
Filed under: uncultured soil bacterium
Lineage: Bacteria
Description: bacterial SSU rRNA
Rfam family: Bacterial small subunit ribosomal RNA
Source: RNAcentral
AGAUUGAACGCUGGCGGCAUGCCUUACACAUGCAAGUCGAACGGCAGCACGGGAGCAAUCCUGGUGGCGAGUGGCGAACGGGUGAGUAAUACAUCGGAACGUGCCCAAUCGUGGGGGAUAACGCAGCGAAAGCUGUGCUAAUACCGCAUAAGAUCUACGGAUGAAAGCAGGGGAUCGCAAGACCUUGCGCGAAUGGAGCGGCCGAUGGCAGAUUAGGUAGUUGGUGAGGUAAAGGCUCACCAAGCCUUCGAUCUGUAGCUGGUCUGAGAGGACGACCAGCCACACUGGGACUGAGACACGGCCCAGACUCCUACGGGAGGCAGCAGUGGGGAAUUUUGGACAAGUGGGCG